GGGGCUUGGGGACGCUGUGUGCUGCCAGCUCGCUCAGGAAUCUCUCAUCCUUUGGACCCUGCAGGUUGUCAUAGAAACAGAUGCAGCGUCUUUUGCCUUCCGGUUCAUGUCCUUGGAUGAUUUGGAGCAAGUUGUUAUCCAUGUCACCAUGUCACUUAAGAAGGUCUUUCCAGACUCAUCCCUUGGGACACUGCUCAAGAACUGCCCCCCCAGCCUGUAUGAGAGGAUCCAGCAGAUCACAGACUCACUGGAGGAAGUGCUGCAGAGCAACCCUGGGCCAUGUGGUAAGUCCUGCCAUAACCUCCCUCAGGCAGGACCAGGAGGGUUGGAGCAC
Molecule: long non-coding RNA, 334 nt
Filed under: Junco hyemalis (dark-eyed junco)
Lineage: Eukaryota; Metazoa; Chordata; Aves; Passeriformes; Passerellidae
Description: lncRNA (ENSJHYG00000001747.1)
Source: RNAcentral